RNAcentral lists this non-coding RNA (166 nucleotides) under human gut metagenome. RNAcentral describes it as "Lysine riboswitch". It matches the Rfam family "Lysine riboswitch aptamer". From Rfam's summary of the family: Riboswitches are metabolite binding domains within certain messenger RNAs that serve as precision sensors for their corresponding targets. The record is from RNAcentral.
AGGAUAGAGGUUGCGUGAUUUAUGAGUAAUCGCCCGGAUACGGCAGACGUAGGGGAAGAGCGAUGAAAGGAGAGAACGCCGAAAGAGAGUCUGUUCUGCGCAGAUUUUCUUGGGCAUACAUUUAAUAGAUGUAUGACUGUCAUCUUAAAAAGAUGGGGAGCUAUCG